UACGUAGGGUGCGAGCGUUAAUCGGAAUUACUGGGCGUAAAGCGUGCGCAGGCGGUUCGUUGUGUCGGCGGUGAAAGCCCCGGGCUCAACCUGGGAAUGGCCGUUGAAACUGGCGAACUGGAGUGUGGCAGAGGGGGGUGGAAUUCCGCGUGUAGCAGUGAAAUGCGUAGAUAUGUGGAGGAACACCGAUGGCGAAGGCAGCCCCCUGGGUCUGCACUGACGCUCAUGCACGAAAGCGUGGGGAGCAAACAGG
RNAcentral lists this ribosomal RNA (253 nucleotides) under uncultured bacterium. Its description in RNAcentral is "partial 16S ribosomal RNA". It matches the Rfam family "Bacterial small subunit ribosomal RNA", at positions 524 to 776 of the family's 1533-position model. The record is from RNAcentral.